This 350-nucleotide long non-coding RNA is filed under the name Equus caballus (horse). RNAcentral's name for it is "lncRNA (ENSECAG00000055321.1)". Lineage: Eukaryota; Metazoa; Chordata; Mammalia; Perissodactyla; Equidae. The record is from RNAcentral.
AGACAGGAGGGUGUACACCCAAAGUGAGACUGUUAGAUCAUGCCAGCUGAAGUAAGCCGGUCACAGAAGGACCAGUAUUGCCUGAUUCCACUUAUACGAGCAUGUGUUGACCACCUACUAUGUGCCAGGCACUGUGUUGGGCGCUGAGGAUUCCACUGGACAGAGCUGGUUCCUGCCUUCAAGGAACACCAUGUCCUCGCAGAUGCUAACAACACAUCACACACUCAGAGUGGUUAUUGGCUAUUUUGCGUUGCUAUUUCUUGGUGCAGUGCAGCAGGAUUUCAGAGAAACCCACUGGAGACCACCUGGAAUCCACACUGAACUGGUCCUUGGUCCAGUGUGGGCCCUUG